ACGCUGAGGUCAUGUGCUUGCACAAGACCAAGUAGUUGCGAAGGGAAAGAAACGCGUAGGUAACCUGCCUCAUAGCGGGGGAUAACAAAUGGAAACGAUAGCUAAUACCGCAUGAGAGUUUUUAACACAUGUUAGGAACUUAAAAGGAGCAACUGCUUCACUAUGAGAUGGACCUGCGUUGUAUUAGCUAGUUGGUGAGGUAACGGCUCACCAAGGCAACGAUACAUAGCCGACCUGAGAGGGUGAUCGGCCACACUGGGACUGAGACACGGCCCAGACUCCUACGGGAGGCAGCAGUAGGGAAUCUUCGGCAAUGGGGGCAACCCUGACCGAGCAACGCCGCGUGAGUGAAGAAGGUUUUCGGAUCGUAAAGCUCUGUUGUUAGAGAAGAAUGGAAGUAGGAGUGGAAAGUCUACUUCGUGACGGUAACUAACCAGAAAGGGACGGCUAACUACGUGCCAGCAGCCGCGGUAAUACGUAGGUCCCGAGCGUUGUCCGGAUUUAUUGGGCGUAAAGCGAGCGCAGGCGGUUCUAUAAGUCUGAAGUUAAAGGCAGUGGCUCAACCAUUGUUCGCUUUGGAAACUGUAGAACUUGAGUGCAGAAGGGGAGAGUGGAAUUCCAUGUGUAGCGUGAAAUGCGUAGAUAUAUGGAGGAACACCGUUGCGAAAGCGGCUCUCUGUCUGUAACUGACGCUGAAGCUCGAAAGCGUGGGGGAGCAAACAGAUAAAAUAACCCUGGUAGUCCCACGCCGUAACGAUGAUUGCUAGGUGUAGCCGUUCCGGCCCUAAUGGCCGCAGCUAACGCAAUUAAGACCUCCGCCUGGGGAAGUACGAACCGCCAGUUAGAAACUCCAAAGAAAUGA
This 862-nucleotide ribosomal RNA is filed under the name uncultured Streptococcus sp. Its description in RNAcentral is "bacterial SSU rRNA". It matches the Rfam family "Bacterial small subunit ribosomal RNA", at positions 66 to 913 of the family's 1533-position model. Lineage: Bacteria; Bacillati; Bacillota; Bacilli; Lactobacillales; Streptococcaceae. The record is from RNAcentral.